UAGCCCUGUCAGAGAGCUGGGCACAUGGUAAGAGAAGCUAUUUAAAAUGGAUAGGAGCAGGGCCAGCCGCCAUGAUACUCAAGUGUCCGGUCUCAGGAAGCCCUGAGCUUGUGCGGGUACAGGAAGGAGACCUUAGAGCUGCUUUGCCUCCUCUGGCUUUAACAUGAAAGGUGGGAAGUGUCUGACAUCCAGCCCAGAGUCCUCCCAGAAGCAGAUCCUGGCAGCUUGAAGUUCUUGGGGUUUUGUUCUAAAGCUCUGGGCGUAAGUAUCAAGUUGGUGGUGUGGCAAGGCAACUGUGGGCUGGGAGCACCGCAAAGGAUUGGCUUCUGCCUGGGUGGAGUGCACACCCUCCCCUGACUGGCUGCUAGGGUAAGCUGGCACCACCAGGCUUUCUGCCUUGCAGAGGGCUUCCUGUGGUGGGCACUGUGCAUGUCCUCUGUGCUCUGGUGCCCACGCCAGGACUGCUUGAGUCCUAGACCUAAACCUCACUGCACCUAGAGAAAGCUAAGACCUCUGUCUUCAGUAGGGCUGGGCUGUCCUGUGGUCCAGCGAUGGUUAAAAUCAUUGUCAGCUUAAUGAGCUCUAGAACCUCCUGGGAGAUGGGCCUCUGGGCAUUCCCGUGAGGAAUACUCUUCGUUAGUGUAAUAGGUGUGGGAAGGCGCGCCCACUGUGGGUGACGCUACUCCAUGGGCUGAGAUCCUUGGCUGUAUAAAGAGAGAAAAUGUGCUGAACACAAGUGUCAGUUGCUUUCUUCUGCAUGAUUGUGGACCAGCUGCUUCAAGCUUCUGUUGCCAUGGUGACUAGCUCCUCACACUGUGAGCCAAGGUUCCCAUACAAAUUGGGAAACUAAAAACGCCAGAUGAUUGCAACAGAUUCCUGCUUGCUUUCAUGGGAAAACAACUGCCACGAACCCUCGGGAAAUGAAGGGAAAACGUGUUCUCUGGUUAAUGCCUUCACUCUGUCUGCAAGCAGGUCCCAGUCCACGGUUGCUCAACAUUUCAACUCGAGUGAGAUGUCAUCCUGCUGGAGGCCAGGUGUGUGUGUGUGGUUGUGCAUGUAUGUGUCUAUGUGGAGGUUUGUGUAUGUGUGGUGUGUAUAUGUGUGUGUGUGUGUGUGUGUGUAUGAGUGUGUUGCUACCCAAUGAGAAGCAGUCCAGUGAGUAAGAAAUGAACACCAAACACACACACACACACAUACACACAGACACAUACAUGCACAACCACACACACACCCCUACAUACACACCACUCACAUACACACAUGCACACCACAUACACACACAUGCACACCACAUACACACACAUGCACACCACACAUACACACAGACUCUUACAUGCGCACCACACACACACAUCAUACAUAAAUGCACACCACACCCAUAUGCACAUACACCCCUACAUACACACCUUACACACACACCUCCACACAGACACAUACAUGCACACCACACACACACACACACACACACACACACACACACACACACACACCCCUUAUGGUCACCAACGCUGGCAACAUAAUUUUUUCUCACAAUAGCUUUCAAGGAUGCAAACAGAGCCUGCAAUUCCAAAUCUCCACAGUGUGCCUGUUUACAUGGAUGCCACCAGCUGCCUUUCUUGCCUGGCCUAGAGAGAAUACUCAGAGAAACAGAGUGGCAGAGGACAUCCCUGUGGCCUUUUGCCAAAAUAAACCAUGGAAGUGACUCUAUGGAAAUAAGAACAUAGAUUACAGUGCAUCUGAAAUGCUGUGCUCUGGCCUAGUCAAAACAUUUUGAUUCCUCUUGUCUGCAAAUGACUCACGGACAGGAUUUCUUCACAGGAGGCCACACUAAUAGAGGCCAUGGAAGUCGUGUUAGGGGAAACAGCAGCAUCAUUUUGUGGUCCUAGGGAGGCCUUCGGUAGUCAGGUGUUAUUGUGUUAGCACAGCUGUGCUGCACAGCAUCAUGGUCCAGGACACUCUCUUUCUUCGGAUUUCAGUAAUUGCGGCUUAGGGUUGAUUGCCUCUGUUCUGUUUCCAGCUUGCCUCAGACACUUAGCUGCCCAGAGUUGGCACAAACACCUAUGGGGAUGAAGAGAAAACAUCUCCAUUAGACUGCCCUCUCCUCUCAGGCAAACCACAGGAAGUCUCAUGAGGUCUCUAGGCCACCCACACUUUGGCCCACUGGGGUGAUUCACUGAAUCCACAGCUUUACUAAAGGACACACUUCAAGAAGAGCCAAACAGAUGUAUAAGGCAGGAAGACAGCACCCCAGUGGUCUCAGGGAGCAAACCCCCCUAGUGAUGAGAAGAUACACACAGAACCUAACCAAGAGUGGGUGUAGUAGAAUAUUGUAAGGUGUGUUACUUUUCUUUAUGUUGCGAUUGUUUAACUCUGUGAAGCCGUGUUACUGUGCCUGUCUAAAACACCUGAUGGUCUAAUAAAGAACUGAACAGCCAAUAGUGAGGCAGGAGAAAGGAUAGGUGGGGCUGACAGGCAGAGAGAAUAUAUAGAGGGAGAAAUCUGAGGAAGAAGUAGUCAGAGAAGGAGGAGGACAUCAGGGGCCAGCCACCCAGCUGUUGGGUUAUUGCGGCGCUCUUACCCUGCAAGGAAACGUCACGAAACAUUAACAAAAUCCAAUAACAAGAGUUAUAUUAAGAUAAGGUAAAGAGACAGAGGUAAACAGGCCUGUGGAAAGACACGUGAGUGAAGAUGGGGCCGGGAAUCCUGGCGCCGGCUUAUAAAGGCUGGGCUGCGCCUGCGUACACAGGCCCAUGUGGCUAUUCCACGCAUGCAUGUAGACCACAUGUUUACGCUGCGUGCUUUACGCAACCACGCAAAACCAUGGGGUCCUGGUCACGCGAGAUGUUUUGACCCGGAAAUGACUAGACAGAAGUGACUAGGUCCCGCCGGGCAUGCGUGACCAUGCCCAACCGUGGGGGCGUGUUGUGAAUCCAUAUCACCAGUGACACAGCAAGCCACGGAGUAAUAGUAAGAUUUACAGAAGUUAGAGAACAGGAAAAGCCCAGGGGCAAAAGGUAACCUGGAUAAGUUAAAGUUAAGGAAAGCUGGAAAGAAACAAGCCAAGCUAAGGCCAGGCAAUCAUAAUUAAGAAUAAGCCUCCAUGUGUGAUUUAUUUGGGAGCUGGUUUGCGGGUCCCCCGCCCACCCAAAAAACACCAACAACCAACAAGUGGGUGCCAACUCUGGGUAGUUGGUGUCAGAAUAGAGUUGGGGUGGAAACAAGACACAGAGAAUACUAGUUAUCAGUAAUGUUAGCUGGUAGUUAUUUGCAGAACCUGUCAAUCAAGUCUCUGUAGGCAGAGCAGCAGGGGAGCUGAUUCAUUAAAGCCCCCCUGUCACCAGCUGUCUGGCUGGAGUCCUUCUGUUCUAUUCAGAUAGGAGAGGCUCCCCGACUGUUGUCCUUGGAGGCUUUUGUAAUCUUUCCCUCAGCGUCUGACCCAGUGAGCAGCUGUGAUGGACAGAGGCAAACAGCAGCAGGCAGGAAGUUCCCGCUGGCGCGUUAGUGCGCCUGUGCUGGCCUGAGCUUCCAGGACCCUCAGCCCCACAGGCGCGGGAAGUGAGGCUUCUCCAGCUCAGUCGGUGCCUGGUGCUAGGAUUCGGCUCAGGCGAGGCUCCGGGGACCCGAGGGCCUUGGCCCGAUGAGCUGGCAGCUCUCCGGAACUUUUCUAGUGACCAGGGCUUGCUUGCAGUUUUCCCACUCUGCCUCUUUGCGGCCUUCUAUUUUUCUUUAUCCCUGGCUCUAUUUCCACGCUCUUCUGCUUUCUUUCUACGUCUGCCAUUACUCUUGAUUCCCCUUUUUGCAACUUUUUUUUUUUUAAGUUUUUCGAGACAGGGUUUCUCUGUGUAGCUUUGCGCCUUUCCUGGAACUCACUUGGUAGCCCAGGCUGGCCUCGAACUCACAGAGAUCCGCCUGGCUCUGCCUCCCGAGUGCUGGGAUUAAAGGCGUGCGCCACCACCGCCCGGCCUCUUUUUGCAACUUUUCAAACACCUCUGCUUCCUGCACAUGCUGUCACGGCUGCCAGCAUUCACCGCCGCCGCCCCUCCGGCUGUUAUCGUCCGCUAUUUUCAGAGCCACUGCUGCCUCUGCCUCGUGGCUGUGGCUCCCAGGAUUACCACGUCACCACCACCAGGCUGGUGUUGCCGCCGAUCCUCAUUUGUCAUAGCUUCGACCGCCACCACGGUCACUGCUACUUCCUUCUUCUUGUGACCAGUCCACCGCACUCUACGAGCAAUAGAGACAGACAAGGAAAGACCGCUCAGAAGAAGCCUUCCUGUCGCGGAUGCUACGACAACACUGUUUCCUGGCAACCUGCUUGUCUACCAUCCAAUCACAGCAGACCUACAUGCAAGGGAAGGAUGGUCACGGCAUUGUCUCUUUCCCACUAGUUACAACAGUUCCUCUGCUAUACGAGCAGUGAGGUGUUCCCCUUCUGGACUAGGUAAAUUGAUGCCAGGGUAAGUCUGGAACGUGCUGGGGCUGCGCUUUAGGAACGGUAGCUGUGCUACAGCAGCAGGCAGCUGCAGUUGCCGUGCAACUUCCUCAAAACAUCUGCGGACUGUUUGAAGCAGCUAGAGCAGGAGUCAAGCUGACUGCUGAACUGACAGUCCUUUCCUCAAGGCAUCCUGGGCAAUGAAGAGGAGUCUAAUGGGGACGAAUUAGUGAGUCCCAGCUCCCAUCCCCAACGUCUUAGCAAAUUUACCGAGGAAAAUGAACAUAAGAGAGAUCGUAUAAAAUAAUGAGUAGUCACUAAUUAAAUAGCGUUGAUCGGUGCUCUAACUUACUAUGGCGCCUGUACCCCAGGAAAGGUGGAUCGCUCGUUCCACUUUGUCUCGUCCCUAGCACCGCAAAACCUGUGUUCAUCAGCCGGAGAUCUUCACUGACCCUCAAUGAAGAGUUUUUAUUGGGAUUUUUCUUAAAGGUCAUGGAUUAAAUCAUUGGCCACAUUAAAAAUCUCAGCCUGCUCCCUUGCCCAGUUAGUGAGUUUAUACCUCAGGUCAGUUUGGUCCAGAGUUCUAACACUUCAAUCCCUUGUCUUCAUUUUGAUCAUGUGCUUUCCUGAAGUAUCUGAGAGUUAACUUAUCAGCAUAAGUAGCAAGAAUACCCUUAUCGGAAAAGCCCAAAUGUCUUAGCAACUAAAGAAAAUACUGAAUAUUAUCUUUAUAAUACCAUACUUCACUAUGAAAAUGUAAAAAACACUGGGAAUUUCAACUUAUUAUUAUUAAUUUUUUUGAGCAGCUACUACAGACCAACCCUUUGGAUUAUACAUGCUGAAGCAGUAUUUUGGAAUAUAAGCAGGCCAUUACGUGGAGGGUAGGCUGAAGGAGGCAGAGAGGGGUACAUGGAUAAGGAGAAGGCAUUCAAGGGAUGAAAUCCAGACAAGGGGAGCAGGUGUGGAAAUGGAAGAGGCAGGCUUGAGAAACACAAAAGAAAGUUUCAAUGAUUCAGCUUUUUGUUGUUGUUGCUGUGGUAGUGGUUUGAAUAUGAAAUGUCCCCCAGAGGCUCAUGUGUUUGAACACUUUGUCACCAGCUGAUGGCGCUGUUUGGGAAAACUGUGGAACCUUUGCCUGGUAGUGCCUUGAUGGAAGAAGUAAGUCCCUGGGGACAGACAUACAAGUUUUAUAGUCCCACUUUACUUCAUGUUCACUCUCUACUUGUGCGUGUGAAGAUAAUGUAACAAGCCAGCUCCCUUCCCUGCCACCAAUGCCCUCCCUGUCCUCUGUCAUGUCUUCCCUACCAUGACGGACAAUAUCCCCCAGAA
Peromyscus californicus insignis is the source of this 5758-nucleotide long non-coding RNA. RefSeq lists it as uncharacterized. The record is from RefSeq and is a predicted model, not a curated record. The transcript has 3 exons. NCBI's taxonomy places the organism in Eukaryota, Metazoa, Chordata, Mammalia, Rodentia, Cricetidae.